RNAcentral lists this ribosomal RNA (403 nucleotides) under uncultured bacterium. Its description in RNAcentral is "bacterial SSU rRNA". It matches the Rfam family "Bacterial small subunit ribosomal RNA", at positions 355 to 774 of the family's 1533-position model. The record is from RNAcentral.
UCGGGAAUUUUGGGCAAUGGGCGAAAGCCUGAUGCAGCAACGCCGCGUGUGCGAUGAAGGCCUUCGGGUCGUAAAGCACUUUUUGAGAGGAUGAGGAAGGACAGUACUCUCAGAAUAAGCCUCGGCUAACUACGUGCCAGCAGCCGCGGUAAAACGUAGGAGGCGAGCGUUAUCCGGAUUUACUGGGCGUAAAGCGCGUGCAGGCGGUAAGGAAAGUUGGAUGUGAAAGCUCCUGGCUUAACUGGGAGAGGUCGUUCAAAACUACCUAGCUAGAGUGUGGGAGAGNGAGGCGGAAUUCCGGGUGUAGUGGUGAAAUGCGUAGAUAUCCGGAGGAACACCAGUGGCGAAAGCGGCCUCCUGGCCCAAGACUGACGCUCAGACGCGAAAGCUAGGGUAGCAAACG